Molecule: long non-coding RNA, 226 nt
Filed under: Glycine max (soybean)
Lineage: Eukaryota; Viridiplantae; Streptophyta; Magnoliopsida; Fabales; Fabaceae
Description: long non-coding RNA (GMAX_LNC001280)
Source: RNAcentral
GAUUGGGCUAUAGAGGUCAUCUGGCCAGAGAUCAGUGCUCCUAUGUUCAUAUCCACGCGAGAGACUAGGCCAAAGAUCAUCCUAGCUCUAUCCACUGUCAAGUCAGAAGUGUGUGAUGUGGGGGCCAAGUUGGAGUAUGAGAGGACACUCCACACCUGAGCUAGUGUAGUCAAAUCCUUCCUGAGAAUCUUCCCUGGAUGGCCCUCAAAGUUCAAGAUGAACCCUC